Molecule: ribosomal RNA, 253 nt
Filed under: uncultured bacterium
Lineage: Bacteria
Description: partial 16S ribosomal RNA
Rfam family: Bacterial small subunit ribosomal RNA
Source: RNAcentral
UACGGGGGGUCCAAGCGUUGUUCGGAAUCACUGGGCGUAAAGCGCAUGUAGGUGGCUUUUCAAGUCAACUGUGAAAGCCCCGGGCCUAACCCGGGAAGUGCAGUUGAAACUGUUGAGCUUGAGUACGAGAGAGGAUAGUGGAAUUCCAGGUGUAGUGGUGAAAUACGUAGAUAUCUGGAGGAACAUCGGUGGCGAAGGCGGCUAUCUGGCUCGAUACUGACACUGAGAUGCGAAAGCGUGGGGAUCAAACAGG